UCAUGGCUGCUGUAUUUGGGGUCUGCUGUGGCUCUUACUGUUGUGACUGUGAUCACUAUUACUGCUGUUUCCUUAAAGCCAGGAGGCAAUAAGAGGACACGCACAGCUGAGACAGCCGAGAGAUCAACCAUAACGGAAGUGCAGUAUACAUGUUUGGAACCGAUCUGAGUUGGAGAACGUGGAAGUAAAACUUUAAAGCAGUUUUGCUUGAUUG
Molecule: long non-coding RNA, 214 nt
Organism: Neoarius graeffei (lesser salmon catfish)
Lineage: Eukaryota; Metazoa; Chordata; Actinopteri; Siluriformes; Ariidae
Exons: 3
Source: RefSeq, a predicted model, not a curated record